UGAGCAAUCUGCCCUUCUCAUCGGAAUAAGCGUUGGAAACGACGUCUAAUGCCGAAUACGACCUCCUUUCGCAUGAUCGGAGGUGGAAAGCUCCGGCGGAGAAGGAUGAGCUCGCGGCCUACCAGCUAGUUGGUGUGGGUAAUGGCCCACCAAGGCGACGACGGGUAGCCGGCCUGAGAGGGUGACCGGCCACACUGGGACUGAGACACGGCCCAGACCUCCGUACGGGAGGNAG
RNAcentral lists this ribosomal RNA (235 nucleotides) under uncultured bacterium. RNAcentral describes it as "partial 16S ribosomal RNA". It matches the Rfam family "Bacterial small subunit ribosomal RNA", at positions 118 to 351 of the family's 1533-position model. The record is from RNAcentral.